This 1023-nucleotide ribosomal RNA is filed under the name Escherichia coli. RNAcentral's name for it is "partial 23S ribosomal RNA". It matches the Rfam family "Bacterial large subunit ribosomal RNA", at positions 126 to 1191 of the family's 2925-position model. Lineage: Bacteria; Pseudomonadati; Pseudomonadota; Gammaproteobacteria; Enterobacterales; Enterobacteriaceae. The record is from RNAcentral.
ACCCAGUGUGAUUCGUCACACUAUCAUUAACUGAAUCCAUAGGUUAAUGAGGCGAACCGGGGGAACUGAAACAUCUAAGUACCCCGAGGAAAAGAAAUCAACCGAGAUUCCCCCAGUAGCGGCGAGCGAACGGGGAGGAGCCCAGAGCCUGAAUCAGUGUGUGUGUUAGUGGAAGCGUCUGGAAAGGCGCGCGAUACAGGGUGACAGCCCCGUACACAAAAAUGCACAUGCUGUGAGCUCGAUGAGUAGGGCGGGACACGUGGUAUCCUGUCUGAAUAUGGGGGGACCAUCCUCCAAGGCUAAAUACUCCUGACUGACCGAUAGUGAACCAGUACCGUGAGGGAAAGGCGAAAAGAACCCCGGCGAGGGGAGUGAAAAAGAACCUGAAACCGUGUACGUACAAGCAGUGGGAGCACGCUUAGGCGUGUGACUGCGUACCUUUUGUAUAAUGGGUCAGCGACUUAUAUUCUGUAGCAAGGUUAACCGAAUAGGGGAGCCGAAGGGAAACCGAGUCUUAACUGGGCGUUAAGUUGCAGGGUAUAGACCCGAAACCCGGUGAUCUAGCCAUGGGCAGGUUGAAGGUUGGGUAACACUAACUGGAGGACCGAACCGACUAAUGUUGAAAAAUUAGCGGAUGACUUGUGGCUGGGGGUGAAAGGCCAAUCAAACCGGGAGAUAGCUGGUUCUCCCCGAAAGCUAUUUAGGUAGCGCCUCGUGAAUUCAUCUCCGGGGGUAGAGCACUGUUUCGGCAAGGGGGUCAUCCCGACUUACCAACCCGAUGCAAACUGCGAAUACCGGAGAAUGUUAUCACGGGAGACACACGGCGGGUGCUAACGUCCGUCGUGAAGAGGGAAACAACCCAGACCGCCAGCUAAGGUCCCAAAGUCAUGGUUAAGUGGGAAACGAUGUGGGAAGGCCCAGACAGCCAGGAUGUUGGCUUAGAAGCAGCCAUCAUUUAAAGAAAGCGUAAUAGCUCACUGGUCGAGUCGGCCUGCGCGGAAGAUGUAACGGGGCUAAACCAUG